This 1675-nucleotide ribosomal RNA is filed under the name Escherichia coli. RNAcentral's name for it is "bacterial LSU rRNA". It matches the Rfam family "Bacterial large subunit ribosomal RNA", at positions 1270 to 2925 of the family's 2925-position model. Lineage: Bacteria; Pseudomonadati; Pseudomonadota; Gammaproteobacteria; Enterobacterales; Enterobacteriaceae. The record is from RNAcentral. RNAcentral also lists the same sequence under 2 other names.
AUGCUGGAGGUAUCAGAAGUGCGAAUGCUGACAUAAGUAACGAUAAAGCGGGUGAAAAGCCCGCUCGCCGGAAGACCAAGGGUUCCUGUCCAACGUUAAUCGGGGCAGGGUGAGUCGACCCCUAAGGCGAGGCCGAAAGGCGUAGUCGAUGGGAAACAGGUUAAUAUUCCUGUACUUGGUGUUACUGCGAAGGGGGGACGGAGAAGGCUAUGUUGGCCGGGCGACGGUUGUCCCGGUUUAAGCGUGUAGGCUGGUUUUCCAGGCAAAUCCGGAAAAUCAAGGCUGAGGCGUGAUGACGAGGCACUACGGUGCUGAAGCAACAAAUGCCCUGCUUCCAGGAAAAGCCUCUAAGCAUCAGGUAACAUCAAAUCGUACCCCAAACCGACACAGGUGGUCAGGUAGAGAAUACCAAGGCGCUUGAGAGAACUCGGGUGAAGGAACUAGGCAAAAUGGUGCCGUAACUUCGGGAGAAGGCACGCUGAUAUGUAGGUGAAGUCCCUUGCGGAUGGAGCUGAAAUCAGUCGAAGAUACCAGCUGGCUGCAACUGUUUAUUAAAAACACAGCACUGUGCAAACACGAAAGUGGACGUAUACGGUGUGACGCCUGCCCGGUGCCGGAAGGUUAAUUGAUGGGGUCAGCGCAAGCGAAGCUCUUGAUCGAAGCCCCGGUAAACGGCGGCCGUAACUAUAACGGUCCUAAGGUAGCGAAAUUCCUUGUCGGGUAAGUUCCGACCUGCACGAAUGGCGUAAUGAUGGCCAGGCUGUCUCCACCCGAGACUCAGUGAAAUUGAACUCGCUGUGAAGAUGCAGUGUACCCGCGGCAAGACGGAAAGACCCCGUGAACCUUUACUAUAGCUUGACACUGAACAUUGAGCCUUGAUGUGUAGGAUAGGUGGGAGGCUUUGAAGUGUGGACGCCAGUCUGCAUGGAGCCGACCUUGAAAUACCACCCUUUAAUGUUUGAUGUUCUAACGUUGACCCGUAAUCCGGGUUGCGGACAGUGUCUGGUGGGUAGUUUGACUGGGGCGGUCUCCUCCUAAAGAGUAACGGAGGAGCACGAAGGUUGGCUAAUCCUGGUCGGACAUCAGGAGGUUAGUGCAAUGGCAUAAGCCAGCUUGACUGCGAGCGUGACGGCGCGAGCAGGUGCGAAAGCAGGUCAUAGUGAUCCGGUGGUUCUGAAUGGAAGGGCCAUCGCUCAACGGAUAAAAGGUACUCCGGGGAUAACAGGCUGAUACCGCCCAAGAGUUCAUAUCGACGGCGGUGUUUGGCACCUCGAUGUCGGCUCAUCACAUCCUGGGGCUGAAGUAGGUCCCAAGGGUAUGGCUGUUCGCCAUUUAAAGUGGUACGCGAGCUGGGUUUAGAACGUCGUGAGACAGUUCGGUCCCUAUCUGCCGUGGGCGCUGGAGAACUGAGGGGGGCUGCUCCUAGUACGAGAGGACCGGAGUGGACGCAUCACUGGUGUUCGGGUUGUCAUGCCAAUGGCACUGCCCGGUAGCUAAAUGCGGAAGAGAUAAGUGCUGAAAGCAUCUAAGCACGAAACUUGCCCCGAGAUGAGUUCUCCCUGACUCCUUGAGAGUCCUGAAGGAACGUUGAAGACGACGACGUUGAUAGGCCGGGUGUGUAAGCGCAGCGAUGCGUUGAGCUAACCGGUACUAAUGAACCGUGAGGCUUAACCUU